RNAcentral lists this ribosomal RNA (140 nucleotides) under uncultured bacterium. RNAcentral's name for it is "partial 16S ribosomal RNA". It matches the Rfam family "Bacterial small subunit ribosomal RNA", at positions 394 to 525 of the family's 1533-position model. The record is from RNAcentral.
ACGCCGCGUGAGUGAUGAAGGCUUUCGGGUCGUAAAGCUCUGUCAGGGGGAAAGAAGUGUAUUGUGGCUAAUAUCCAUGGUACUUGACGGUACCCCCAAAGGAAGCACCGGCUAACUCCGUGCCAGCAGCCGCGGUAAUA